GUUCGGUUAAGUCCGGCAACGAGCGCAACCCACACUCUUAGUUGCCAGCAUUCAGUUGGGCACUCUAGGAGAACUGCCGGUGAUAAGCCGGAGGAAGGUGUGGAUGACGUCAAGUCCUCAUGGCCCUUACGGGUUGGGCUACACACGUGCUACAAUGGUGGUGACAAUGGGUUAAUCCCAAAAAGCCAUCUCAGUUCGGAUUGGGGUCUGCAACUCGACCCCAUGAAGUCGGAAUCGCUAGUAAUCGCGUAACAGCAUGACGCGGUGAAUACGUUCCCGGGCCUUGUACACACCGCCCGUCACACCAUGGGAAUUGGGUCUACCCGAAGGCGGUGCGCCAACCAGCAAUGGAGGCAGCCGACCACGGUAGGCUCAGUGACUGGGGUGAAGUCGUAACAAGGUAACC
Molecule: ribosomal RNA, 406 nt
Filed under: uncultured bacterium
Lineage: Bacteria
Description: bacterial SSU rRNA
Rfam family: Bacterial small subunit ribosomal RNA
Source: RNAcentral